Molecule: transfer RNA, 71 nt
Organism: Phytophthora sojae
Lineage: Eukaryota; Oomycota; Peronosporomycetes; Peronosporales; Peronosporaceae
Rfam family: tRNA
About the family: Transfer RNA (tRNA) molecules are approximately 80 nucleotides in length. Their secondary structure includes four short double-helical elements and three loops (D, anti-codon, and T loops).
Source: Rfam
AGCACCGUAGCUCAAAGGAAGAGCGCCGAGCUUUGGCUCUGGAGACGCCCGUUCAAUUCGGGUCGGCGCUA